This is a long non-coding RNA of Drosophila miranda, 533 nucleotides long. RefSeq lists it as uncharacterized. The transcript has 2 exons. NCBI's taxonomy places the organism in Eukaryota, Metazoa, Arthropoda, Insecta, Diptera, Drosophilidae. The record is from RefSeq and is a predicted model, not a curated record.
GCCGAAACGGGAGUGCCAAGCGGGCGGGCUUUUUCAAUUAAGGGGCCCCAAACGUAGGCCAUCGCCCACACCCUGAGAUUGAGAGUCUCUGGCUCCAUCGACUGAGAUGCCUGGGCUACUGCUUCAGAUCCUUUGCGUGCAACACCCCAAUACGUGAGCCUUGCAACGUCUCCAGCUCGUACUGACGCUGCCUUUCCUUUAUCGGCUUGCGCUCGGACCAUUUAGCUUCGGGGGUAUCUAAUUUCACGUUGGAGGACCUAUCUAUUGGCUGCUUCGCGGCGACGUGGAACUCGACUCCUCCAAUUGCGUCGUGCUCCUUUUCGCGUUUCCCGGCCGACAUUUAGGGCAUUUAGGGAGAAUGACCCCGGCCAGCCCGCACUUGUAGCAGAACAGGUUACGCACGGCCGACUCACACUCAAAAUAGGUGUGACCCGGCUGAGCGCAAUUCCAGCACUUCAGCUGGGUGCGGUCGCCUCCGGAUUCCCUCGUCCUAUGGACAGCAUCCAAUGCCUCGGUCUGUUCCUCCGGGUCGU